AACGAACGCUGGCGGCAGGCCUAACACAUGCAAGUCGAGCGAGGACUUCGGUCCUAGCGGCGGACGGGUGAGUAACGCGUGGGAACGUGCCCUUUGCUUCGGAAUAGCCCUGGGAAACUGGGAGUAAUACCGGAUGAGCCCUUUGGGGGAAAGAUUUAUCGGCGAAGGAUCGGCCCGCGUUGGAUUAGGUAGUUGGUGGGGUAAUGGCCUACCAAGCCGACGAUCCAUAGCUGGUUUGAGAGGAUGAUCAGCCACACUGGGACUGAGACACGGCCCAGAUUCCUACGGGAAGCAGCAGUGGGGAAUCUUAGACAAUGGGGGAAACCCUGAUCUAGCCAUGCCGCGUGAGCGAUGAAGGCCUUAGGGUUGUAAAGCUCUUUCAGCUGGGAAGAUAAUGACGGUACCAGCAGAAGAAGCCCCGGCUAACUCCGUG
This 433-nucleotide ribosomal RNA is filed under the name uncultured bacterium. Its description in RNAcentral is "partial 16S ribosomal RNA". It matches the Rfam family "Bacterial small subunit ribosomal RNA", at positions 29 to 507 of the family's 1533-position model. The record is from RNAcentral.